This 452-nucleotide ribosomal RNA is filed under the name uncultured bacterium. RNAcentral describes it as "bacterial SSU rRNA". It matches the Rfam family "Bacterial small subunit ribosomal RNA", at positions 29 to 526 of the family's 1533-position model. The record is from RNAcentral.
AACGAACGCUGGCGGCAGGCCUAACACAUGCAAGUCGAGCGAUCCUUCGGGAUAGCGGCGGACGGGUGAGUAACGCGUGGGAAUAUGCCCUUCACUACGGAAUAGCCCAGGGAAACUUGGAUUAAUACCGUAUACGCCCUUUGGGGAAAGAUUUAUCGGUGAAGGAUUAGCCCGCGUUGGAUUAGGUAGUUGGUGGGGUAAUGGCCUACCAAGCCUACGAUCCAUAGCUGGUUUGAGAGGAUGAUCAGCCACACUGGGACUGAGACACGGCCCAGACUCCUACGGGAGGCAGCAGUGGGGAAUCUUAGACAAUGGGCGCAAGCCUGAUCCAGCCAUGCCGCGUGAGUGAUGAAGGCCCUAGGGUUGUAAAGCUCUUUCACCGGAGAAGAUAAUGACGGUAUCCGGAGAAGAAGCCCCGGCUAACUUCGUGCCAGCCGCCGCCGCAAUAACAC